RNAcentral lists this ribosomal RNA (730 nucleotides) under uncultured bacterium. RNAcentral describes it as "bacterial SSU rRNA". It matches the Rfam family "Bacterial small subunit ribosomal RNA", at positions 771 to 1501 of the family's 1533-position model. The record is from RNAcentral.
AACAGGAUUAGAUACCCUGGUAGUCCACGCCGUAAACGAUGCCGACUUGGAGGUUGUGCCCUUGAGGCGUGGCUUCCGGAGCUAACGCGUUAAGUCGACCGCCUGGGGAGUACGGCCGCAAGGUUAAAACUCAAAUGAAUUGACGGGGGCCCGCACAAGCGGUGGAGCAUGUGGUUUAAUUCGAUGCAACGCGAAGAACCUUACCUGGUCUUGACAUCCACAGAACUUUCCAGAGAUGGAUUGGUGCCUUCGGGAACUGUGAGACAGGUGCUGCAUGGCUGUCGUCAGCUCGUGUUGUGAAAUGUUGGGUUAAGUCCCGCAACGAGCGCAACCCUUAUCUUUUGUUGCCAGCGGUCCGGCCGGGAGCUCAAAGGAGACUGCCAGUGAUAAACUGGAGGAAGGUGGGGAUGACGUCAAGUCAUCAUGGCCCUUACGACCAGGGCUACACACGUGCUACAAUGGCGCAUACAAAGAGAAGCGACCUCGCGAGAGCAAGCGGACCUCAUAAAGUGCGUCGUAGUCCGGAUUGGAGUCUGCAACUCGACUCCAUGAAGUCGGAAUCGCUAGUAAUCGUGGAUCAGAAUGCCACGGUGAAUACGUUCCCGGGCCUUGUACACACCGCCCGUCACACCAUGGGAGUGGGUUGCAAAAGAAGUAGGUAGCUUAACCUUCGGGAGGGCGCUUACCACUUUGUGAUUCAUGACUGGGGUGAAGUCGUAACAAGGUAACC